UUUAAAGAUUGAAGUUGGAAAAGUUUAUAUAAAUCGUUUACUUACGAUCAAUCGGCGAUGCCAGGUCUUGAUUUUUUUCUUGGGGGUUUCUCUCGUACGUCUAUCCGUGGUGGAUGUCAAAAACGAACUGAAAUGCUUGGACAGUUUAUUCUGCAAGGUUAUAGAACCUAAGCACCUUAGUACUCGCGCAGGUAGAAAACCCGUUCCCUUUCUACAAGAAACGCUGUAGCGACCGUAAUAAUUUGAAUUUCGAUUUAAAAAUUUGAGAGAAUGUUUAGAACAGUGUAUACUAUACGAUAAUGCAAAAAAAAAAAAAACAAUUUUUUGAAAAUUUCACACUGAGACGAUCCCUUAAGAGCCUACUCAAUAAAAUCAAGAAAUCUGUACGAUCAACUAAUCGUCCUUUAUCUCAAGUAAGCCGACGCCUACAUGAAGCCCAACUCAUCAAAAUGAAAAAAGCAGACGUUCCCAAUCAAAUUGAAAUUAUCAAAACUAAAAUCAAUGAAGCUGGGAUUGAGAAAGUGAUACGAGUGAAGUACAAGUCAUAUAUUUUGAGAGAUCAAGCACCAGACAACAUUGUUUUCCUACAGGACAAGUCAAUAAUACAAAUAGAAAGAAUGACAAUUAUAUCGAAAAAUCCUGAUAUGGUGACAAUAGAGGGUAAAGAAUUGAGAAAAAAGAAACCUUUAUAUAAUUAUCCUAGCAAUUCGAAACAUGUACGAAUGUGGGAGCUCCACCUUCGUCCGUCAGCCAACACAAGAUCCUGGUGCAUUGACUAUAUAAAUACAAAAAUGAUGAAAUUAACCUUAUCACUCUGUCCAGAUGGCGUAAAAAAAACGUUCGCUUUCUCUCUUCUACAUACGUAAUACCUAGACUAUGCUUUGCACAGCAACUGUCUGAACUUUUUGACAUUCAAAUUAAUUCUAACAUGUUGAUUGAAACAAGGGAAAUUUCUCGCUAAGAUUGAAAAUCGUAUCAGAAAUUUAUGAAUUAUCCAACAUUAAAUCUGAAAAAUCAAAAAUUCCAAAAAGUUCCUUGCGUUACAAUGAUUUUUAUAUGACACUCAUGUUCAUGUUAUUUUCACAAGACUAAUUGUAAGGUGAGAGACAUCCAUCAAUUGAAUUUAGAAUUGAAUCCCUUAAUUCUUGAAACCAAAUAGAAAUUAAUUUUCUAUCAAUUUACAUUGAAAAUUUUUGAACAGAAAAUCAGUUUUUAACUAUCUUUAGGGAUCAAGGGAUCCAAUCCUGAAGUCAACACACGGAUGUCUUUAAUCUUAAUAUACUUUUAAUACUACCCUCAAAUAUGAAUUCUGUGAAUUAUAUCGUUUCUGUACUAUAUCCAUUCCUAUCCCUGUCCCAUAUCCUGUAAGUAUCAUUACCUAUAAUGCAAGGAGCAUUUCGUAACUGCGGAUUUUUCACAUGUAAUGUUGUAUAAUUCCUAAAUUCCCCAUUUAAUUUCCAAUCUCACGGUAAGAUUUUCUUUGGUUCAAAUAGCACUGUCAAGAAAAUAAAAAAUCAUUGCAAUAGAAAAAAAUGUACAAUUUUCGGUUUUGAUAUAGGCACUUAUUGAAAAAAAAAGACGAAACAGCGAAAAAAGGAACUUUAUCUUGAAACUUAUAUCGCUCCAUAAAAGAAAAUUAUUUCGGAUCAUGAAUCAUUCUUCAUACCAUAUUACUGCUAUUUGAAAACAGCCUGAACGUCACACACCCUUAUGGACCUAACAUACACGAGUAUAGAUAGUGUAUGUAUGUAUAAGCGGCGAGUCUGCGAUUUUAGAUUAGGUACGGGAGAAAGCCCGCCAAAUUCGCCAUUGCCGGCGUUGACGCAUAACGACAUGACAACAUAACGUGUUCCUCGAGGAAAACCUUCGGUUUUCGGUAAAAUGUCGGGGAUGAAAAUUGAAAGAGACCAAAAAAGACGGUACUUUCACAAUCGACUGCGUACUAUGUAGCUGGAUACGAUACGACCAUGAGAAGGGACACAUGUUGGCGAAAUUUGCACCACCACCAUACGGAAACAAAACAGCUAAUAAAUUAUUAGAAUCAUUGAUGAAAUCACAAAGCCCUGCUUUGCCGAAUUGGCCAGAAUAUGUCGUAGAACUUGUUGGUCAUGCAGACACAUAUGAGAAAUCCAUUGAAAGACUAGGCAUUUUGCAAAGCGAUGAAUUUGCUUAUACAACAGAUUCUGACAACACAAGACAAGAAAAGGCAUCUCAAAUAACUGAAAAAAUAAAGAAACAGAGCUUAGAAAAAAUCAUGGAAGUGCCAAGACUUGAGAGCGAUGAUUCAGGUGAAUAGGAAAACGAUACGAGGCAAGAUGAUGAGGCGUGCAAUGGAACCCGCGCGCCGAUGUGACGUGCCGCGCUAGAUAAAUUAACUCUUUUCCUCCAAUAAUAAUAAUUUCUCCAUCAAUUAAAAAUACGUUAUGGGUAAAAAUUUUGACGUAGAAUACGAUGGUUGUGCUGAGAACUCGCUACGAGGUUGGGGCAAUUGUUAAAAAUCGAUUGAAAGAUUUUAAUUGUUUAUAACAGUAUAAAUUUCGGAAUAAUCGUUAAUAAAAGAAUUGUUGUAAUAAAAUUCAUUUUAUUAGCUUUGAGAUGAAAAAACGAACUUUCCAGCUCAAAUAGAACCAGCGUUAUGAAUUUUUGAACGUGAGUCUUCCAAGCCAAAAAACACCAAGUUAUCAAAUUUUCGAUGCCCUCUAUUUUACGAAAUACGUCAAAUAAAAAAUCCUCUAAUACGUAUCCCUAUUUUUUCGGUAUAGAACCCGUAAAAAAAAUUUCAGCUAAUUCGAAAAUGUGUCGGUCACAAAGGUGUUCGGUUGUAAAAGAAUGUCCCAUUUACAUUAAAACAUAUCGCGCAAUAUUAGUUUUACACAGCACGAAGUAUUUUCGAAAUGAUUUCAUAAAUAUCACUAUUCACCAUUUGUAGAUAUUUGGAAAUAUGUUCGAAAAAUACGAUUGAAACAAAACGGAUACGAAUUGUUGUGGUCUCGUUUUAUGAAGCAUCGCUACGACCUUGCAUGACUAUUCUUCGACAUAGGUAUCGAAAUCAUUCUGAAAUUGUACAUCGCUUGUUACACACAACUCUACUGAUAAUAAUGAAAUAAUUUUAUGUUCGAAGCUAUUUUACUAAUGAAAAGGGUUUCAAAAAAUGAUUAUAUAUAAUAUUGGAACACUUUAUUCAUGUUACUAUGGAUAUAUGAAACAAUUGUUGACAUCGACGUUGAGGAUUAUUUUUAUACCCUCUGAAAUAUUAAAUACAAGGAAAUAGUAUCCGAGAUUCGAGGUAACUAUGAAGCUGCGGGUUGUGCGAAACAGUUCCUUCUCCC
This 3329-nucleotide unclassified non-coding RNA is filed under the name Neodiprion pinetum (white pine sawfly). RNAcentral's name for it is "uncharacterized LOC124220711, transcript variant X2". The record is from RNAcentral. Lineage: Eukaryota; Metazoa; Arthropoda; Insecta; Hymenoptera; Diprionidae.